RNAcentral lists this ribosomal RNA (498 nucleotides) under uncultured bacterium. RNAcentral's name for it is "partial 16S ribosomal RNA". It matches the Rfam family "Bacterial small subunit ribosomal RNA", at positions 30 to 523 of the family's 1533-position model. The record is from RNAcentral.
AUUGAACGCUGGCGGCAUGCCUUACACAUGCAAGUCGAACGGUAACAGGUCUUCGGACGCUGACGAGUGGCGAACGGGUGAGUAAUACAUCGGAACGUGCCCAGUCGUGGGGGAUAACUACUCGAAAGAGUAGCUAAUACCGCAUACGAUCUGAGGAUGAAAGCGGGGGACCUUCGGGCCUCGCGCGAUUGGAGCGGCCGAUGGCAGAUUAGGUAGUUGGUGGGAUAAAAGCUUACCAAGCCGACGAUCUGUAGCUGGUCUGAGAGGACGACCAGCCACACUGGGACUGAGACACGGCCCAGACUCCUACGGGAGGCAGCAGUGGGGAAUUUUGGACAAUGGGCGAAAGCCUGAUCCAGCAAUGCCGCGUGCAGGAUGAAGGCCUUCGGGUCGUAAACUGCUUUUGUACGGAACGAAAAAGCUUCUCCUAAUACGAGAGGCCCAUGACGGUACCGUAAGAAUAAGCACCGGCUAACUACGUGCCAGCCGCCGCAGUAA